Long non-coding RNA from Cephus cinctus (wheat stem sawfly), 699 nucleotides. RefSeq lists it as uncharacterized. The record is from RefSeq and is a predicted model, not a curated record. The transcript has 2 exons. Lineage: Eukaryota; Metazoa; Arthropoda; Insecta; Hymenoptera; Cephidae.
GGCCCAUUUCGCUCCCUUAUACUUCCUACUUUUCCUACUUUUCUCACUGUUCUCUUAUCUUGCUCCUCCAGAGUAAUCUGGUCUUCGUGCUGUAGUGAGCCAAAUGUUAAUAGUAGUGACAUACAUAGGAUAAUAGCGAAAGCUAGUCCUGCUAGAGUUUAUAUUUCUUAAAAUUUGUCUUGUUGCUACCUGGUGUCGUCCCUUUCUGUCUCGAACUUCCAAUACGAGCGGACGUCACCAAGCAGCACAGCAAGUCAUACCUAAGGGUGCCGUACAAAGAUAGAAAGGGCUUUUAUUUAAAUCACUAUAUGGAAUUAUUGACGGGACUGGUACAUAGAAGUAAAAGGAAUAACGGAGAUAUUUGGCAAUCGAUGUGAUCGCAUACGUCCCUGAUAAUUUGAACAUCAACCAGUAAAAAGGAAUAUCGCAAACAAUUCCUCCAUAAUUUUAUCAACGGCUACGAAGUACAUCAUGUUUUCGGAACAACGUACAGCUAAGCGAUAUUAUUUAUUUUAGUUUGGUUUUUGUAAUUUGUAAUGUAAGUGUGGGUCAUGAGUGUUAUGGAAUGGGUCAUGAAUGUUAUAUCUUAAAAUCGCCUUAUUUAAUCAAAUAUGUUCUUAUUGAAUUCAUUUGUCAUUGUGUGUUCAUUUAUAUUUUUUGAAUUGUGUUAAUUUGGACAUAAAUUAAUUCAGCUAAUAA